This 1015-nucleotide small RNA is filed under the name Cryptococcus neoformans H99. Its description in RNAcentral is "Cryptococcus neoformans var. grubii H99 hypothetical RNA". Lineage: Eukaryota; Fungi; Basidiomycota; Tremellomycetes; Tremellales; Cryptococcaceae. The record is from RNAcentral.
ACUAGAUUCACGACUACGUCCUCACACUGCCCAUAUCCUUGGGAGCUACAGCGAGCAUCCCGACUUGUGUCAUUUGUGUAUCCCCUUGCACAUUCCUCUCGUCCAUCAUAAGCGGCAAAGGUUUGAACGCUGCAAUUUCUGCUGGAGAAGCGUAGAGCGACACUGGUCUGGAUCUUGCAAAGGAAGGAGAAACCAAACUGAACAAAGCAAGUUAGCUACAGGUACACAUUCUCCUUCCCAUUCACACUGCCAUAACACAAAGGGGAACUGUCCGAAUGCUCACCCAUCCAGAUCAUUACCCUGUUCAAGACUUCCGUCGCCUCCGAUAAUAGCAGGGGCACUCUUCUGUUCAUCCACAAAUGACUUCUUCUCCCAUGUUCUACUUAACGUCGGUUUAUGCACGAUGGCAUUGAAGAGUCUCUUGGAUAAAGGGGGAGGAGGGGAAGGAUCUUUGAGUGGAGGCGGAGGCGGGGGUGGGGCGGGCGCUUCGAUUGUCUGGUCCGCCUGGUUUACCUCUACCCCUUGAUCUAGUUGGGUCAUAGUGGCGACGAGAUCGGUGGAAGGGACAAGGAUGGGAGAAUGAAUAUGUGAUGCAAGAAGAGAAGGAAGCAUUGGACCGGUCUCGAGGGGACCUUCUUCGGUAACACUUGCUCGGCGCUGUGCAGAAGAACCAUAGGUAGAUGUGGGCUGUGCCCUUUCGGUAUCGGCGUGAAGCUGGUGUUGGGUACGUGAAGGGAAUGCAGGCGACAGAGGAUGAGAAUGUUCGACAGCUCUCGAAACGUGGUGGUGGUGGUGGGAAGGGUAAGACGAUGACAUGUUGACUAGAGGCGACGAUGAUAUUGGUACUUGUGAAGAUCAGGUAUAUGGCAAAGGUUUUUUAGUGAUAAAAGAUUGUGGAAAAUUUGGUUAGUUCUGAAUCAAUCCAGCAGGGUAUUGACGUAUCGCUCUGGUAUGCGGCCGAUAAUGGCAGUCUGGGGGAUAAGAGGCAAAUGAAGAGGACAAUCAGUGGUGGUGG